RNA transcript from Cucumis sativus (cucumber), 2056 nucleotides. It is a transcript of the gene named geraniol 8-hydroxylase-like, with no coding region annotated. The transcript has 3 exons. Lineage: Eukaryota; Viridiplantae; Streptophyta; Magnoliopsida; Cucurbitales; Cucurbitaceae. The record is from RefSeq and is a predicted model, not a curated record.
CUACGGUUUAUAUUACGUAUUUAUUCUCCUAAAUUUAAUAAAAAAAUACCCUUCCAUACUUGUCACUUAUAACCAUUUUGGGAGCCAUGUGAAUAACAAUUAUGCAUCGUUUACAAGUCAAACAUGUAUCCUUUAAAAAAAAAAAAAAAUUUUGACAAGAAAAUAAAAGUGAUUUUGUCUAAUCCAAAACUUAUUCUACCUGUUAAAAAGUUAAAAAGAAUUUCCCUACAUAUAUAAUCAAAAGUUGAAGCUUACAUUGCUUCAUUUCCAUUCAUAAGAGUAGUAAGAGAUGGAUUUGUUGGGGAUCUUCAUUGUUCUACUUUCCAUUGCAUGGCUAAUUUCAAUGAUCUCAAAAACAAGACCAAUUACCAACCUCCCUCCCGGCCCAAAGCCAUUGCCACUCAUCGGCAACCUUCUUGCUCUCGGCGAUAAACCCCACCAAUCCCUAGCCAAUCUCGCCAAAUCCUAUGGCCCGAUCAUGACCUUGAAACUCGGCCAAAUCACCACCGUCGUCAUUUCCUCCUCCGCCAUGGCCAAACAAGUCCUCCAAACCCACGACCAAUUUCUCUCCUCCAGAACCGUCCCUGACUCCAUGACCACUCACAACCACGAUCUUUUCGGCCUCCCAUGGAUGCCCGUUUCACCUCUCUGGCGAAACCUCAGACGAAUUUGCAACACCCAGUUGUUCGCUGCCCGGAUUCUCGACGCCAACGAGAACCUCAGACGAGGCCAAGUGGCAGAGCUGGUGACAGAGAUAUCUAGAUGUGCUUUGAAAGGUAAUGAAACAGUGGAUUUUGGAAAAGUGGCGUUUGUGACUUCGGUGAAUUUGCUUUGGAAUACCAUUUUUUCGGAGGAUUUUGUGGACCCGAAUUCGAAAAUAGGGAGAGAGUUUAAAGUGGCUGUAAGAGGGGCUAUGGAAGAAGCUGCGAAACCGAAUUUUGGAGAUUAUUUUGCAUUGUUGAAGAGAUUUGAUGUGCAGGGGAUUAAGAAGAAACAGAGUGUUCAUUUUGAUAGGAUUUUUGAUGUGUUGGAGCAGAUGAUUGAUGAACGGAUUGAUGAGCAGAAAAAAAGUUGUGGUUCUAAUAAGAUUAAACAUGAUUUAUUGCAUUAUCUUCUCAAUCCUGGUGAUGAAAAUAGCGAAAUCAAGUUGGGGAGAAUUGAGUUCGAACACUUAUUAGCGAAAAACAAAUCAUAGAAAGGAAAAUAAAUAAUGUACUAUGAAGACUUAAACAUUGACAUGAAGGGACAUGUGAAUAACCAAGUACUAUUCAUUGCUGGAACCGACACAAGUUCUGCAACAUUCCAAUGGGCAAUGGCAGAACUAUUUAAAAACCCACAAAAGCUAUCAAAAGCUCAACAAUAAAUCCGAAGUGUAAUAGGAAAAUGAAACCCAAUUAGAGAAUCAGACAUUUCAAGGCUACCUUAUUUACAAGCAGUGAUCAAAGAAACUUUGAGAUGUCAUUCCCCUCCUUUUCUACUACCUCGUAAAGCAUUACAAGACGUCGAAAUAUCAGGUUUCACAAUCCCUAAAGACGCUCAAGUGCCGGUAAAUUUAUGGGCGAUGGGUCGAGAUUCGAACGUAUGGAAAAAUCCUGAAAUAUUCGAGCCAGAGAGGUUCUUAGAGAUGGAAAUUGAUAUUAAAGGCAGAGAUUUUGAGUUGGUUCCAUUUGGUGGUGGAAGAAGGAUUUGCCCUGAAUUGUCAUUGGCUAUGAGAAUGUUGCCUUUGAUGCUGGGUUCGCUUCUUCAUUUCUUUGAUUGGAAGCUUGAAGAUGGUUUUCGACCUGAUGAUUUGAAUAUGGAUGAAAAGUAUGGACUCACUCUUGAAAUGGCUUCUCCUUUGAGAGCUUUCCCACUUCUUGUCUAGUUUUACCUUCUUUUUUUCAGUAAAAACUAGUUUUAUGUUUUCUUUUAUGAAUGUUGAUUCUCAAAAAUAAAUAUGCAUGUAAAAUAUGAUGCUCCAAUUGAUAUGGCCAAUUUAAAUGCCUAUACGAUAAACUUAUGUAUGGGCCCAUAUACUAGGGUUUGUUUGCAUAAUGCACAAAAAUAAUUACGAAAA